RNAcentral lists this unclassified non-coding RNA (200 nucleotides) under soil metagenome. RNAcentral's name for it is "partial contains internal transcribed spacer 2 and large subunit ribosomal RNA". The record is from RNAcentral.
CAGGGCCCCUAUUUAAUGGGGCUCGGCUCCUCUUGAAAUGCAUUAGUGGAACUUCUGAUUGUGGACCUGCUCCAGCGUGAUAAUUAUCUACGUUGCGGCGGCGAAGCGGUAUAGAUCUGCUUACAACCGUUGCAUGUAUGCGCAACAAACUCAUAUGACAAUUUGACCUCAAAUCAGGUAGGAUUACCCGCUGAACUUAA